ACCCCCCACACAAACCCUUUCCCGCGCGCGAGACGCCCCAAGGAAUCAAAAACGAAAAGACAGGGAACGGGCGGCCCCCUCGAGUGCCAGUAGACGGAUCUCUCACGGGCGGCCCAUUCCCGUUCGGAAACAAAACCACUCUCCGCAACGGAUAUCUCCGCUCUCACAUCAAUAAAGAACGUAGCGAAAUGCUAUACUUGGUGUGAAUUGCAGAAUCCCGUGAACCAUCGACUCUUUGAACGCAAGUUGCCCCCGACGCCUUCGGGUCGAGGGCACGUCUGCCUGGGUGUCGUGCAUCCUCCCCCCUCCCCAUCCUUCCGGCUCCCCCCGAGGGAGAAAAGGGGGGUACGGGACGGCCGCGGAAAGUUCUCCCCUGCGCUCCCCCUCUCGCUUUGGCCGAAAUCCUUUUUUUUCGCCCCAUAACUCCCCC
Molecule: ribosomal RNA, 430 nt
Filed under: Passiflora caerulea
Lineage: Eukaryota; Viridiplantae; Streptophyta; Magnoliopsida; Malpighiales; Passifloraceae
Source: RNAcentral